RNAcentral lists this small nuclear RNA (104 nucleotides) under Octodon degus (degu). The record is from RNAcentral. Lineage: Eukaryota; Metazoa; Chordata; Mammalia; Rodentia; Octodontidae.
AGUGCUUGAAGUCGCAGACUAUAUACUAAAAUUGGAACAAGACAAAGAUUAGUCUGGCCUAUGGGCAGGAUAGCGUACAAAUUGGAGCAGUGCUCUAUGUUUUU